AACGUGCCCUGUAGUGGGGGAUAACUAGUCGAAAGAUUAGCUAAUACCGCAUACGACCUGAGGGUGAAAGUGGGGGACCGCAAGGCCUCAUGCUAUAGGAGCGGCCGAUGUCUGAUUAGCUAGUUGGUGGGGUAAAGGCCCACCAAGGCGACGAUCAGUAGCUGGUCUGAGAGGACGAUCAGCCACACUGGGACUGAGACACGGCCCAGACUCCUACGGGAGGCAGCAGUGGGGAAUUUUGGACAAUGGGCGAAAGCCUGAUCCAGCAAUGCCGCGUGUGUGAAGAAGGCCUUCGGGUUGUAAAGCUCUUUUGUCCGGAAAGAAAUGGCUCUGGUUAAUACCUGNGGUCGAUGACGGUACCGGAAGAAUAAGGACCGGCUAACUACGUGCCAGCAGCCGCGGUAAUACGUAGGGUCCAAGCGU
Molecule: ribosomal RNA, 423 nt
Filed under: uncultured bacterium
Lineage: Bacteria
Description: bacterial SSU rRNA
Rfam family: Bacterial small subunit ribosomal RNA
Source: RNAcentral